This 2104-nucleotide ribosomal RNA is filed under the name Siagona europaea. Its description in RNAcentral is "SSU rRNA". It matches the Rfam family "Eukaryotic small subunit ribosomal RNA". The record is from RNAcentral. Lineage: Eukaryota; Metazoa; Arthropoda; Insecta; Coleoptera; Carabidae.
GUCAUAUGCUGGUCUCAAAGAUUAAGCCAUGCAUGUCUAAGUACAAGCCAAAUUAAGUGAAACCGCGAAAGGCUCAUUAAAUCAGUUAUGGUUCCUUAGAUCGUACCCACAUUUACUUGGAUAACUGUGGUAAUUCUAGAGCUAAUACAUGCAAACAGAGCUCUGACCGGAGACGGAAGGAGUGCUUUUAUUCGAUCAAAACCAAUCGGCGGCAGGUCAUGUCUUUUUCACAAGGUAUGUUCUCUGUUCGUCGACAAUUAUGGUGACUCUGAAUAACUUUAUGCUGAUCGCAUGGUCUUGCACCGGCGACGCAUCUUUCAAAUGUCUGCCUUAUCAACUGUCGAUGGUAGGUUCUGCGCCUACCAUGGUUGUAACGGGUAACGGGGAAUCAGGGUUCGAUUCCGGAGAGGGAGCCUGAGAAACGGCUACCACAUCCAAGGAAGGCAGCAGGCGCGCAAAUUACCCACUCCCGGCACGGGGAGGUAGUGACGAAAAAUAACGAUACGGGACUCAUCCGAGGCCCCGUAAUCGGAAUGAGUACACUUUAAAUCCUUUAACGAGGAUCAAUUGGAGGGCAAGUCUGGUGCCAGCAGCCGCGGUAAUUCCAGCUCCAAUAGCGUAUAUUAAAGUUGUUGCGGUUAAAAAGCUCGUAGUUGAAUUUGUGUCCCGCACUGUCGGUUCACUGCUCGCAGUGCUAACUGGCACGUUUUGUGGGACGUCCUGCCGGUGGAUACUGCAUCUGCUUUACAUGUUAUAUACCAUUUUCAUUAUUCUUUAAUGAAUAUGUAAUGUGUUUUAAUAUGUAAUGUUUCAGUUUGUUUGUAUCCGACUUGUUUGAAUCCUGUCGCGGUGCUCUUAAUUGAGUGUCGAGGCGGGCCGGCACGUUUACUUUGAACAAAUUAGAGUGCUCAAAGCAGGCUAAAACUUUUGCCUGAAUAUUGUGUGCAUGGAAUAAUGGAAUAGGACCUCGGUUCUAUUUUGUUGGUUUUUCGGACCCGAGGUAAUGAUUAAUAGGGACAGGUGGGGGCAUUCGUAUUGCGACGUUAGAGGUGAAAUUCUUGGAUCGUCGCAAGACGGACAUAAGCGAAAGCAUUUGCCAAAAAUGUUUUCAUUAAUCAAGAACGAAAGUCAGAGGUUCGAAGGCGAUCAGAUACCGCCCUAGUUCUGACCAUAAACGAUGCCAGCUAGCGAUCCGCCGACGUUCCUCCGAUGACUCGGCGGGUAGCUUCCGGGAAACCAAAGCUUUUGGGUUCCGGGGGAAGUAUGGUUGCAAAGCUGAAACUUAAAGGAAUUGACGGAAGGGCACCACCAGGAGUGGAGCCUGCGGCUUAAUUUGACUCAACACGGGAAACCUCACCAGGCCCGGACACUGGAAGGAUUGACAGAUUGAGAGCUCUUUCUUGAUUCAGUGGGUGGUGGUGCAUGGCCGUUCUUAGUUGGUGGAGCGAUUUGUCUGGUUAAUUCCGAUAACGAACGAGACUCUAGCCUGCUAACUAGGCGUACUUUUCCAGUAUCUCGAAGGCUCGUGUCUUUCGCAUCUGUCUGUGUUUGGUUAUGAUGUCGUCACGUUCUUACCUCCAGUUGUUUAUCAUGUGUAUUUUUGUUAUAUCCCAUUUAAUUUUGGGUAUAAUGAUGUGUGUAUGUAAACUUCUGUGUAUGUAUCGUGCGCUCAUUUCCUACCAGCUGUCGGAAGUUCACGGUUUUUACUACUGGCGUACAAUUGAUUCUUCUUAGAGGGACAGGCGGCUCCUAGCCGCACGAGAUUGAGCAAUAACAGGUCUGUGAUGCCCUUAGAUGUUCUGGGCCGCACGCGCGCUACACUGAAGGAAUCAGCGUGUCCUCCCUGGCCGAGCGGUCCGGGUAACCCGCUGAACCUCCUUCGUGCUAGGGAUUGGGGAUUGCAAUUAUUCCCCAUGAACGAGGAAUUCCCAGUAAGCGCGAGUCAUAAGCUCGCGUUGAUUACGUCCCUGCCCUUUGUACACACCGCCCGUCGCUACUACCGAUUGAAUGAUUUAGUGAGGUCUUCAGACCGGCACCCGAUGGUGUUUCGACAUCGUCGAUGUAGUUGGGAAGAUGACCGAACUUGAUUAUUUAGAGGAAGUAA